This 233-nucleotide unclassified non-coding RNA is filed under the name air metagenome. RNAcentral describes it as "partial contains small subunit ribosomal RNA, internal transcribed spacer 1, and 5.8S ribosomal RNA". The stretch from base 1 to 46 matches the Rfam family "Eukaryotic small subunit ribosomal RNA", at positions 1786 to 1831 of the family's 1831-position model. The record is from RNAcentral.
AAGUCGUAACAAGGUCUCCGUUGGUGAACCAGCGGAGGGAUCAUUACCGAGUUUUCAACUCCCAAACCCCUGUGAACAUACCAAAACGUUGCCUCGGCGGAUCGCCCCGGUGCCCUCGGGCCCGGAACCAGGCGCCCGCCGGAGGAAAACCAAACUCCAGUCUCCUAGAUGUAUCUUCUGAGUGACAACAAGCAAAUAAAUUAAAACUUUCAACGACGGAUCUCUUGGUUCUG